UUUAAAUGUAAAAAUUUAUUACUAAAAUAGUAUUAGUUAUGUUCUUGAAAAUUAAAGAUUUUGGCGGUAUUUUAGUCUAUUUAGAGGAACCUGUUCUAUAAUUGAUAAUCCACGAUUAACUUUACUUAUUUAAUAAAUUUGUAUACCGUCGUUAUUAGAAAAUUUUAAUAGAAUAUAAAUUUUUAAUAUUUUAAAUUAAAAAAUAUAUCAGAUCAAGGUGCAGUUAAUAUUUAAGAAGAAAUGGGUUACAAUAAAUUUAUUUAUACGGAUUAAGGUAAUAAAUGCUUUGUGAAGGUGGAUUUAAUAGUAAUAAAAUUUAUUUUAAUUUUAUGAUUUUAGCUCUAAAAUAUGU
This 352-nucleotide ribosomal RNA is filed under the name Abax parallelepipedus inferior. RNAcentral describes it as "partial 12S ribosomal RNA". The record is from RNAcentral. Lineage: Eukaryota; Metazoa; Arthropoda; Insecta; Coleoptera; Carabidae.